RNAcentral lists this small RNA (804 nucleotides) under Cryptococcus neoformans H99. RNAcentral's name for it is "Cryptococcus neoformans var. grubii H99 hypothetical RNA". The record is from RNAcentral. Lineage: Eukaryota; Fungi; Basidiomycota; Tremellomycetes; Tremellales; Cryptococcaceae.
UGAAAGAGGAUACAUAAAAAGCUUUCUAGCUUAUUGGUUUUGCGUCUAACGUUCGUGUUUAAUGAUUUUCUAUUUUUGUUCCGGUUUUCCUCCUUUCUUCGGUCUCUUCUUUACCCUCUCCUUUUUCCUCGCAUCGUAAACGUCCUAGCUCUUGCCCUCACCAGUUGGUCAUAAUAAAUGCUGUCUGUCGUGUUUCCCGGACCUUUGUGCCUUGUCGGAGGCCGGUCGAUGUCCCGAAGCCAGAUGCACAGCUGCACCAACACUCCCCAUAAUAAUAGGCUGCAAGCGCUCCACCCUCAGGCCUUCAUCCUUCCUAAUAACCGGCGGUUGACGAGCUCCGGUUUCCCUAUGAAGCAGUCCCUCAAUCCUCUUUGUCCGUUCAUCCAACCGCCUCAGAAUGCCUUUCUCCUCCAGCCCACUCCCAUGGCCUUGGUCUUGCUCAGGAGAGACAGAGGUAGUGCUUUGGUCGCGGUUUGUAUAUCCUUCGGGCGCAGAUGUAGACGUAAUAGGGAGAGCCAAGGAACAACGGGUUCGGAGGGUCCGGCAUCGAUGACACCCUUCUGGGAUGAGCAUCUCACAUUUCGACUUUCGAUGCUGACAGGCCAGACAUGCUGUAAGUGGUUUUGUGCGUUUCCGUGGUCAAGGACUGGAACUUGGGGACGGAGCCAUUGGGUGGAGAAUCGGGUAGAAGAGCAGGCCCCAAUUACAUUCGGUCGACACCAUGCACUGGAACGGAAGCUGAGUGAUGGAGAGCGGACACAAAAGCGGAAGUAUUUGUAUACAUCAAAUUAAUAACAGAAACAC